This 30-nucleotide non-coding RNA is filed under the name Mus musculus (house mouse). Lineage: Eukaryota; Metazoa; Chordata; Mammalia; Rodentia; Muridae. The record is from RNAcentral.
UAGUAGAACCCCACAUUCACAGGCAUGAAC